UCUGGCAGGCUAGGUCUGUAAGCUGCUGAUACAGGAAGUUCAAGAGGACGUUUAUACGAGCCGCUGAGCUGACACCCAGUAUUUUCCGCUCAACAAUGUUUUAAACCAUGUCUCAAAUUAGCAGAGAGCUGAUCCAGGACAGACACAGAGAGAUUGCCCUCUCUACCCUCUGGCUGUAUCUUUCUACCCUCUGGCUGUAACCCCCGCAGAGGGAGGGCCGGACGGGGAAAAGAACAACAAUGUGUCUGUCCCAGUGAUGACAUGGGUGCCUGGACUGCAUGUGCAUGGGUGCCUGGACACAUGACACGCUCUCAUUGAGCAACGGAAACAUGACGUAAGGGUCACUGCCAGACAACGAAAAAGAGAGAGAGAGAGAGAGAGAGAGAGAGAGAGAGAGAGAGAGAGAGAGAGAGAGAGAGAGAGAGAGAGAGAGAGAGAGAGAGAGAAAUGAUGAGAAAUAAAGAUUCCUCUUACCAUCUAGGGACACCCUGGUUUGAACUUAAUCUGUGAGGCCUAUUCCAUCAGAACUUGUGGGAUUGAAUGGACUGAUUGAAUAGCUAGAAACCUCAUUCUGGGUUUCUGGCUAUUUCAAAAUGUGUUAAUUUAGACAUAUCCUCCCAACCUCUUUACGAUUUAGUAUUAAAUAAAGCCGUCUUUAUUCAACCCAUA
Molecule: long non-coding RNA, 669 nt
Organism: Salmo salar (Atlantic salmon)
Lineage: Eukaryota; Metazoa; Chordata; Actinopteri; Salmoniformes; Salmonidae
Source: RefSeq, a predicted model, not a curated record